This 2156-nucleotide unclassified non-coding RNA is filed under the name Ooceraea biroi (clonal raider ant). Its description in RNAcentral is "zinc finger-containing ubiquitin peptidase 1, transcript variant X4". The record is from RNAcentral. Lineage: Eukaryota; Metazoa; Arthropoda; Insecta; Hymenoptera; Formicidae.
UUCGAGCAUCGUUAGGGGUGGCGUCGGAGCGACUGGUGCGAUCAGCGGACACACUGUCACGGGGUGACAGCGGCGGGCGGCGGGCACUCUUCGCGCAAGGAAAAGCGAGUCGUAAAUUCGUCCGGACGAAACGACCGUGAUACCCGUCAUAUGGAGAACGGAGUGGCGCGUUAGGGUGACCGGUGAUCCCGCUUCCGCGGGUCAAGAGCGAGGGCCUACCACGAGGAGAGCGCGAAUGAUCGAUCCGACAGUUCGGAUCGGGAAGGCCGCUACCUCGGAUACGCUGAAAAUGGCGUCCAGCAAACCACCGGAGAUGAAUUACACAUGCGAGAUCUGCGGCCUGGAAGGCUUCAACGACGAGGAGAUGCGCUCGCACAUGGUGCAGUAUCACCUCCAGGGUGCCGCCAACUGCCCCUUCUGCGAUUUAGGCGAGAUCUCGCCCACAGAGAUGCUGGUCCACGUCAACAGCGCUCACCUGGAUUACCUGACCCCGAGCACUCCGGAAAACGAUAUGAUGGCGUUCAUCGACGACGACUCGCUGAUGGAGGAGCACAACAGGCGCGACGAGUGCCGGGCGCCCUCGCCGUCCAUGUCCCUGCGACCACCUUAUCUGCAGAACGGCUGGGGAAAUUCUGCGGGACAACGUAUCAAGCAGCAGCAGCAACAGCAGCAGCAGCAGCAGCAGCAGCAGCUUUCGUCGAGAAAAUCCGACGCUCAAAUCGCGAAUCCCAACAUGAAUAAUAACAACAAUAACAACAACAGCAACAAUGCGAAUACCGUGUUGGAAGGUGCAGCGGGUCAAGGUUCGCCACUGCGUUCUGGCCUAAAUCUGCAGUUGCGCUCGCACGCCACCCCGAAACUUCCAGUGCAGGAGUGCCCGAUGUGCCCGUACAGUUCCGACAGCCCCCUGAGGCUGGAAGAGCAUAUCAAUCGCCAACACUUUGAUCUCACCUCGCCGUCCUUCCCGCCGGAAUCACCACCGACGCGGGACGGAGUCUUCAACUGCCCUCUUUGCGUUACGUCUUUUCCGAAUUCUUCUGAUCUUGAGUUACACGUGAAUAUCGAGCACAAGGAUAUACUAAGCCCUGCGAACGGGACAGCCUCGCGGUCCGACGUGGCUACUGUCGGCAGCGACUCGACGCCCGCCUGUCCAGUAUGUCUUAGUACAUUAUUUAAGAAUAAUGACGACCUAAUGGCACACAUCGAAGAGCAUUUCAACAAGAAGAGCACGCCGUCGCCCGUGACACCGGACGUGUCGACCGACAGGCUACUCGCAAAGGACAUGGAGAGAAGAGAGAAAGAAGUGCGGAAGCUGCGUGAGCAACGCGAGUUUGAGAUGUUGCGGGCGCAGUACGGCAUGGACAAUCAGGGUAAUUUCCGGGAGCAGAGCGUCACCAAUAUGCAGCGAGCUGUUUACGCGGGCGAAAUGUCGGUGGCUGACUUCUUCGAGAGGCAAAUCGAGCUGAGGGUCGCCGAGAGCAGCGGCAUCGACGACGGCAGCUCUUGCACACGCGGGCUGGUCCCGAAAGUAUGUGCCAUCAGCCAGGCUUGCAGCAACGUAGUGAACACCUGGAUGUGUUCGACCGUGGACCAUUACGCGUCGACUUACGGCGACAAGGGCUGGGGUUGCGGCUACAGGAACAUGCAGAUGUUAAUCUCGUCUCUCUUGCAGCACACAGGGUACAACGAGCUAGUUUACAAGGCGUGGAGUUCCGGCGCCGGUGGCAACGGCUCCACGGAGAACCCGCUGCGCAGCUCCAUGCCGUCGAUCUCACGACUGCAGAAGAUGAUCGAGUGGGCGUGGACGCAGGGCUUUGACAUUCAGGGUGCGGAGCAGCUCGGCGGUAAACUGGUUAACACUAGGAAGUGGAUCGGCGCCACGGAGGUGCCAGCUGGUGGACUUUCAUAGACCUACCAGCGCGGACGGCGGCCACCCCGAGCUGUUCAACUGGGUCAUGCAGUACUUUCAACGGUGUGACGACUUCAAACCACCCCUUUACCUUCAGCAUCAAGGGCACAGCAGAACGAUAAUGGGUGUAGAGCAGUUGAGGGACGGCUCGAUAACCAUGCUGGUGCUGGAUCCGAGUCAUAGCCCGGCGCAAAUGGCGCAUUUCAACAGCACGAGCAGCGCAACCGGCGCGAUGAGGCUCGUACGA